This 207-nucleotide unclassified non-coding RNA is filed under the name Hevea brasiliensis (rubber tree). The record is from RNAcentral. Lineage: Eukaryota; Viridiplantae; Streptophyta; Magnoliopsida; Malpighiales; Euphorbiaceae.
CCCGACAUAGUUUUGACAUAGGUUUUCGUGUGACAUAGCUUGACCGAUCAACUUCUCAACUUGAAGCUUAACAGAGAGACCAUGAUCAACUUCACGGGAAUCUCCAGAUAUUAAGGUGCUGUGGUCUACUGCGUGCUGAACCGAAGCAGUCGACAUAGAAGAACAAGUGGGGAAAUCCCGUCCGGUCAGUUUAUUACUCAUUCGAGC